GGCAGGCUCGACCAGAUCAGAUCGAUUCGAUCUCCAUCUUUCUGGCGACACUGAGCACAGAAAGCAGAGAGAACGGGAAGAGAGAGGCGAGAGGAGGGGGCAGGAACCCUAGCUGCGGGAGGGCGGCUGGCGCCCCGCAAGCGCCGGAGAGACGCCGCGCCGUGCACUUGCUGGCACGCACGGAAGGAAGCGGGGAGCUGCAGGGGGGCGCGAGCGGUGAUCGGUGGCUUCAAGCAGCGGGCAAGCUGGACCUGGGCCUGUGGGCUGUGGCUGGCGGUGCCGAGGCCGAAUCGAGGUUGGAGGAGACCGCGGCAGCGGGAGCUCACCUUCUCGUGAUGAGAUGCGAGACAACUAGCAGCGACAGGAGGACGAGUGUUCCGGUCGUGUGGAUGGCUUUUUGUUGGUCAAGUAGUGAAAUGGGGAUGCACUAAUCCAUCUAACUAUUUGGCAGACCAUGGUAGCUGAUUAGACUGUAUGACCUCAUCACCUUGCUAUGGAUAUAUAGCUCAGUUAAUUCCUGCACAACCAAUUUCAUAUUCAAUAUGCCACCAUGGGGGGGAAAGUCUUCAUCCAAAGAAGUUAAGAAGACUGCCAGAGAAAAUAUAAUUGACACAUUUCAGCAGUUCAUAAGUCCAAGUGAGCAUAAGGGGAGCACAAAAUCGCGAGGGAAUCGCGGACGCUGUAAAGACUCAACUGCUGAGAAAGGUUGCUGGUCUACUGCCCAAUCACGGUCCACAUCCCCUUCAAAAGAGGUUUCUCGUUGUCAAAGCUUUGCAGCAGAUAGACCAAAUGCACAACCACUUCCUCUUCCUAGAUCACGUGCUGGGGUGACGCGCACUGUUUCUGAUGUUACCGACUCAAAGCCCAUUUUGCAAAGGCAUGACAAAGGACAGCAGCUACCACUGCCUACCCAGAAUCGGCUUCAGAAAAGACCUGAAACUACUGAAUGUGUUGCAGAAUUAGCAACUGCAUCUGUCUCCAGCAAUUGUUCUAUUGAUAGUGAUGAUUGUGGAGAUUCUCAGUUUCACAGUCCUGUGGGAAAUGAUGCUGAAAAUGUGACUAAAGUUACAACAAUGAUUAGUUCAAGCGUUGUGCAUAAAGAAUGUUCAAGUGCUAUCACCACAAAGAGCACUAAGGAAGUGACAAAGUUGGGCAGUGCUUUUCUCAGGAACCAAAUUCUGCCCACAUCUCCAACUGGUACUGUUUCAGACCGUUACCAAACCAAUUUACAAAACACAUGCCAGGUUGCUCUGGAGAGUGCUCCAAACAGUUUGAUGUCAAGCCCUUCUCAAAGCCCAAGAACAAUAUUUCCUGACCAGAUUCCAAGUUCAGCUUUUUGGGCAGUGAAGCCUCAUGCAGAUAUAACAUUCCUUGGGUCUGGUCAGUGCUCCAGUCCAGGUUCAGGGCAAACAUCUGGGCAUAAUUCAGUGGGAGGUGAUAUGCUAGCUCAGCUCUUCUGGCAGCCUAGCCGAGGCAGUCCAGAGUGUUCACCAAUUCCUAGCCCAAGAAUGAUGAGUCCUGGUCCAAGUUCGAGGGUGCAUAGCGGAAGUGUCUCUCCAUUGCAUCCGAGGGCUGGUGGGAUGGCACCUGAAUCUCCAACAAAUCGGCAUGAUGAGGUGAAGAAGAAGCAAACCCACAGAUUGCCGCUUCCACCGUUAAGCAUCUCUAAUAGUUCCACCUUUUUGCCGAACAACUCCGCCCCAACAAGUCCUAUAUCUCGUAGUCCUGGUAGAGCAGAGAAUCCACCCAGUCCUGGAUCACGUUGGAAGAAGGGAAAGCUGAUUGGACAUGGGACAUUCGGCCAUGUAUAUGUUGGCUUUAACAGUGAUAGAGGCGAAAUGUGUGCAAUGAAGGAGGUUACCCUUUUCUCAGAUGAUCCUAAGUCAAAAGAAAGUGCAAGACAGUUGGGUCAGGAAAUAUUAGUUCUGAGCCGGCUGCAACAUCCAAAUAUUGUACGAUACUACGGAUCUGAAACGGUUGACAAUAAACUUUAUAUAUACCUGGAGUAUGUGUCUGGCGGAUCCAUCCAUAAGCUUCUGCAGGAGUAUGGACGGUUUGGUGAACAAGCAAUUCGCAGUUAUACUAAGCAAAUUCGUUUGGGCUUAGCUUAUUUGCAUGCAAAGAAUACAGUUCACAGGGAUAUCAAAGGUGCAAACAUAUUAGUAGACCCUAACGGCCGUGUAAAGCUUGCUGACUUUGGAAUGGCAAAACAUAUCAAUGGGCAGCAGUGUCCUUUCUCAUUCAAGGGUAGCCCGUACUGGAUGGCUCCUGAGGUUAUAAAGAAUUCUACUGGAUGUAACCUAGCUGUGGACGUAUGGAGUUUAGGGUGCACAGUUCUAGAGAUGGCUACCUCAAAACCUCCAUGGAGCCAAUAUGAAGGGAUUGCUGCGAUGUUUAAGAUAGGAAACAGCAAGGAGCUUCCACCAAUACCAGAUCAUCUCUCUGAAGAGGGCAAAGAUUUUAUACGUCAGUGCCUGCAACGUGAUCCAUCUAGCCGUCCAACAGCAGUGGAUCUUUUGCAACAUUCAUUUAUACGAAGCGCAUUACCGCCUGGAAAAUCAGUUGCCUCUACUCCGUUGGAACAGUUGGAUGAUAUAUCUUGCAAACCAAGUUCUAAGGUGGUUGGGCAUGUCAGAAAUAUGUCUUCUUUGGGUUUGGAAGGUCAAUCCAUUUACCAGAGAAGAGCUGCAAAAUUUUCUUUGACACACAGUGAUAUUCAUAUACGGAGCAAUAUUUCUUGCCCAGUUUCUCCAUGUGGAAGCCCUCUUCUGAGGUCAAGAUCCCCGCAACAACAAAAUGGUACAAUGUCACCAUCUCCGAUUUCUAGCCCCAGAACUACUUCGGGUGCUUCCACUCCUCUGACAGGUGGCAAUGGAACCAUACCUCCUAACCAUACUAGACAACUAGCUUACAGCAACAAGGGUGUCACAAUCGCAUCGAGAGUUCUUGAUGAACACUGGGCUAGCCGGCCUCCAGAUCCAGUUCUUGGUCAUUUAGUUAGAGCUCAACAACUCUCGACAAGCAUUCGGGGGAGAGUGGUCUCUGAAGCUGGCAUUCGGGGACCUCAGUUUGGAAAGAGGAGACAACGGAAUUUGCAUGAUAGGCCAUUGGCUUCCGAGCAUGCCUCUCAGCAUGGCUUUGGGGAUAAUUUGAAGCUAAAACCUUCAGUGGACAUGACAUCUGGUAAUCCACACCUCAUACGCAACCAUGGUCAUUGAUUCUCUAGAAAGGUUGUGCAAUAGGCAUUCAGUUGGAGCUUGAUGAGAUAAUGUCUCUUUAGUAAGAUCUGUAUCAUAGCAGAAGAAGACUUUCCACUAAUUAUUUCAGAUGCUGACAGUUGGCAGUUGAUAUGGAUUGUCCAACGCCAUUUCUAUCAUUUCAAGUAAAGAUUACCAUGAGAAUUGCCCUAUCAGGAGGGGCAUAGACUGCCAGACUACCUGGUCUGUAAUUGUAUAUUAGAGCAUCUUUAUACCGAAGGAUCCGCAACAGUAGUUCUGAACCUUUAUGCCCUUCCUCCCGUAUCUGCAUUUUAUUUUCCCCGACUUACAUGGUAAUAUUCCCUUGUGCAAGAGCUCAACUAGCAGCUCACGUUCUGCACAUGAUUAACAAUUGAGCCAUUCGGUUAUUACCCAGAUAUUAACAAUUCUGUAUCUCAUUCCAUGUUGCAAGCUUCUGCCCACACUGAAGUGUUGUAAUACUCCAGUAAUUAGUACUAGGCCGAUCCAUAACUGUGUACAUUACUCCGGGAAUAGUGCAAAGAUUCUAGUCAUUGAUUAAAUUAGUA
Molecule: RNA transcript, 3784 nt
Organism: Brachypodium distachyon (stiff brome)
Lineage: Eukaryota; Viridiplantae; Streptophyta; Magnoliopsida; Poales; Poaceae
Gene name: mitogen-activated protein kinase kinase kinase YODA
Exons: 13
Source: RefSeq, a predicted model, not a curated record